UAGGGAAUCUUCCGCAAUGGACGCAAGUCUGACGGAGCAACGCCGCGUGAGUGAAGAAGGAUUUCGGUUCGUAAAACUCUGUUGUUAGAGAAGAACAGCGCAUAGAGUAACUGUUAUGCGUGUGACGGUAUCUAACCAGAAAGCCACGGCUAACUACGUGCCAGCAGCCGCGGUAAUACGUAGGUGGCAAGCGUUGUCCGGAUUUAUUGGGCGUAAAGCGAGCGCAGGCGGUCAAUUAAGUCUGAUGUGAAAGCCCCCGGCUCAACCGGGGAGGGUCAUUGGAAACUGGUUGACUUGAGUGCAGAAGAGGAGAGUGGAAUUCCAUGUGUAGCGGUGAAAUGCGUAGAUAUAUGGAGGAACACCAGUGGCGAAGGCAGGUCUCUGGGCUGUUACUGACGCUGAGAAGCGAAAGCGUGGGGAGCGAACAGG
RNAcentral lists this ribosomal RNA (429 nucleotides) under Bacteroidota bacterium. Its description in RNAcentral is "Bacteroidetes bacterium partial 16S ribosomal RNA". It matches the Rfam family "Bacterial small subunit ribosomal RNA", at positions 355 to 776 of the family's 1533-position model. Lineage: Bacteria; Pseudomonadati; Bacteroidota. The record is from RNAcentral.